This 230-nucleotide ribosomal RNA is filed under the name uncultured bacterium. RNAcentral describes it as "partial 16S ribosomal RNA". It matches the Rfam family "Bacterial small subunit ribosomal RNA", at positions 524 to 753 of the family's 1533-position model. The record is from RNAcentral.
UACGUAGGGUGCAAGCGUUGUCCGGAAUUAUUGGGCGUAAAGAGCUUGUAGGCGGUUUGUCGCGUCUGCUGUGAAAUUUCGGGGCUCAACCCCGAACUUGCAGUGGGUACGGGCAGACUAGAGUGUGGUAGGGGAGACUGGAAUUCCUGGUGUAGCGGUGAAAUGCGCAGAUAUCAGGAGGAACACCGAUGGCGAAGGCAGGUCUCUGGGCCACUACUGGCGCUGAGAAG